UGAGGAAUAUUGGGCAAUGCCCGCAAGGGUGACCCAGCAACGCCGCGUGGAGGAUGAAUGUCGUAAGAUUGUAAACUCCUGUUAGAGGGGAAGAAUAGUACCGGUUGGACCGGUAUAUGACUGUACCCUCAGAGAAAGCCCCGGCUAACUACGUGCCAGCAGCCGCGGUAAUACGUAGGGGGCAAGCGUUGUCCGGAUUUACUGGGUGUAAAGGGCGCGCAGGCGGGAUAAAAAGUCAGUGGUGAAAUCCUACGGCUUAACUGUAGAACUGCCUUUGAUACUUUUAUUCUUGAGUACAGUUGAGGUAGGCGGAAUGUGUCAUGUAGCGGUGAAAUGCUUAGAUAUGACACAGAACACCGAUUGCGAAGGCAGCUUGCUAAGCUGUAACUGACGCUGAGGCACGAAAGCGUGGGGAGCAAACA
RNAcentral lists this ribosomal RNA (422 nucleotides) under uncultured bacterium. RNAcentral describes it as "bacterial SSU rRNA". It matches the Rfam family "Bacterial small subunit ribosomal RNA", at positions 355 to 774 of the family's 1533-position model. The record is from RNAcentral.